CAGAAGCUGAGAGGAGAAAGGGGCUACAGGAAAGUAGGUUGCAGUCACUCUCUGGGAGGAGGGAGUUGGGAUGGUGGUGAACCCAGAGAAGUGGGGGAAGCCAGGAAGUGCCUUCCUACACAGUCAGUACCUCUGACACAGAACACUUAGGAAAAAUGGAAACUCUUCUUUGUACACCAGCUCAGUGGAUGUUGCUGGAUGUUGCACAGCAUCGGAGAUGAGGAAGACAGAAGAUGCACUAUCAAGGAGAGAUUGGCUGGAUGUCAAAAGUGAGGCAAUUAGCUUAUCAGUAACAAUGAUGUAAAUACACUGACAGUUAUAGUUGUCAAAACUGAGGAUAGUUAAUGUUUGACAAGCUAGCUAACAGUCAGUCAAAGUCAAGAGCUGCUUGCAAUAUCACUGAGGGUUUAUAAACUUCACCCCUCCACCCCCAAAAAAACCGUAAUAAUUUCCAUUCCUCAAUGAGGAUUACCUUUAUGCCAAUUUUAAAUUAGAUUCCUUGAGCCAUUUUUGAGUCAUACUAGUGUAAUACACUGGCUUAGUGCAUGUGAUUGUGUCUCCCUCUAGUGGUUGGUCCCAGUAGCUAUAACAGUUUGCUGUUUACUUCCAGCUAAUUGUGUUAACACUUUCACUCAAAUGCUAGGAGCUUGUGCUUUUUUUAAUACUAUUCCGGAUUCAACCUCUGCUGAUUAGCCAUGGUAUCCAUA
Chelonia mydas (Green sea turtle) is the source of this 707-nucleotide long non-coding RNA. RefSeq lists it as uncharacterized. The transcript has 3 exons. The record is from RefSeq and is a predicted model, not a curated record. Lineage: Eukaryota; Metazoa; Chordata; Testudines; Cheloniidae.